AAUGAACGCUAGCUACAGGCUUAACACAUGCAAGUCGAGGGGUAACGAGAGGAAAGCUUGCGUUCCUUGUCGACGACCGGCGCACGGGUGAGUAACGCGUAUCGAACCUGCCCCCAACUAGGGAAUAACCUUGCGAAAGUAAGACUAAUACCCUAUAAUUUCCUCAGAUGUCAUCUGACGAGGAAUAAAGAUUUAUCGGUUGUGGAUGGGGAUGCGUCUGAUUAGCUUGUUGGCGGGGGCACGGCCCACCAAGGCAACGAUCAGUAGGGGGUCUGAGAGGAAGGGCCCCCACAUUGGAACUGAGACACGGACUAAAAUCCUACGGGAGGCAGCAGUGAGGAAUAUUGGUCAAUGGGCGGAAGCCUGAACCAGCCAAGUAGCGUGCAGGAUGCCGGCCCUAUGGGUUGUAAACUGCUUUUAUCCAGGAAUAAAGUUAGCCAAGUGUGGUUAUUUGUAGGUACUGUAUGAAUAAGGACCGGCUAAUUCCGUGCCAGCCGCCGCUGUAA
Molecule: ribosomal RNA, 506 nt
Filed under: uncultured bacterium
Lineage: Bacteria
Description: partial 16S ribosomal RNA
Rfam family: Bacterial small subunit ribosomal RNA
Source: RNAcentral